GUGGGGAAUAUUGGACAAUGGGCGAAAGCCUGAUCCAGCCAUGCCGCGUGUGUGAAGAAGGUCUUCGGAUUGUAAAGCACUUUAAGCGAGGAGGAGGCUACCGAGAUUAAUACUCUUGGAUAGUGGACGUUACUCGCAGAAUAAGCACCGGCUAACUCUGUGCCAGCAGCCGCGGUAAUACAGAGGGUGCAAGCGUUAAUCGGAUUUACUGGGCGUAAAGCGCGCGUAGGUGGCCAAUUAAGUCAAAUGUGAAAUCCCCGAGCUUAACUUGGGAAUUGCAUUCGAUACUGGUUGGCUAGAGGAUGGGAGAGGAUGGUAGAAUUCCAGGUGUAGCGGUGAAAUGCGUAGAGAUCUGGAGGAAUACCGAUGGCGAAGGCAGCCAUCUGGCCUAAUACUGACACUGAGGUGCGAAAGCAUGGGGAGCAAACAGGAUUAGAUACCCGGGUAGUCC
This 451-nucleotide ribosomal RNA is filed under the name uncultured bacterium. RNAcentral describes it as "partial 16S ribosomal RNA". It matches the Rfam family "Bacterial small subunit ribosomal RNA", at positions 354 to 796 of the family's 1533-position model. The record is from RNAcentral.